UGCCAGCCGCCGCGGUAAUACGAAAGGGGCAAGCGUUGUUCGGAAUUACUGGGCGUAAAGCGCGCGUAGGCGGAUUGUUAAGUCGGGGGUGAAAUCCCGGGGCUCAACCUUGGAACUGCAUUUGAAACUGUUGUUCUUGAGUGAUGGAGAGGCAGGCGGAAUUCCUAGUGUAGCGGUGAAAUGCGUAGAUAUUAGGAGGAACACCAGUGGCGAAGGCGGCUCGCUGGCUCGAUACUGACGCUGAGGCGCGAAAGCGUGGGGAGCAAACAGGAUUAGAUA
Molecule: ribosomal RNA, 279 nt
Filed under: uncultured bacterium
Lineage: Bacteria
Description: partial 16S ribosomal RNA
Rfam family: Bacterial small subunit ribosomal RNA
Source: RNAcentral